ACUUCACGCUUGUUAUGCUAUAUUCUACGCGGUGGGAUAUGAUUUGUCAAAUGGGUUGCUAUCGUCCAAGCGACGCAUUUUCACGACUGGUGACGGUAACCACAGCGGAGUUGACGUAAUCGGUGAAUCCGUACUCCCCGACGACGGUGCCAUUAGCGAAUCUCUCCUCGAAUCUGAAGUGCUCGUUGCCCGCCGCGUCUCUCGCGUUGUCGUAUCCGAAGGCGUAGCUUCCAGUCUCCUGAAUUUAUACACCCGUGACUUCCGCAUCGCUGCUUCUGAAGGGCUUCGACCAUCGGCUCUUGGCAUCCGAUCCAUUGGGCGAUUCGGCUGGUCCAGUAUCGGGAUUUGAAUUAUCCCGCCGCUGUAAGCUUGCGGAAGUAACGAGGAUCGCGGAGCUUGCGGUCGAACUGAUCAGCCAGUAGCAGAGCCACGUUGCUUUCAAGAGCUGCAUGACGCACGUUUACUUUGCGAGACCGAACGAACAGUGGCUUAAGAAUCCAGGAUCCGCUGGCGAGAGUGCCGACAGCCUCUUUUUUCCUCGAACGAAGCUCAAGAGCUCAAGAAUUUCGCGCCUUCGCGACGAGGACGACGGCGGAAAACUCGCUGCUAUAUACUGCUUGCGGAAAUUAAGGAGAGUCAUAAAACUUGCGAUGAUGACCGAAGGAGCGUUUGCGCCCCCGCUUUUGCCGGCCAAUCAAGCUCGAGUAAAUGUGCCAUUCGGGAGAGACUGCAUAGUUAUUUAUAAUCUGGGAACGACACGAGAAUUGGGAGGAACUACUCAGGGCUAAUAUUGGUUGAUUGCAAGCUAAUUAAAUUUCCGCCGACUUUUAUCCCCGCUCUCGGCAAACUCCUUGUAAUGAGCUUUCCUCGUCUUGGCAUCGUAUAAUCGAACGGAGCGAGUCUAAAAAUCGAUUAUCUGGCCUGCAUAAUGAACGAAGAGUUGGGUGACGUUUUACGAGGGAAAAGUCUCGUCAAGUCCCUAGCGCGCAUGGAUGACGAAUUAAGCAGUGACUAAAGUAAACGCAUAUUAUAAACCUCGACAAAGCAAACUUUCUGAAAUUCGAAUUUCAAAUGCAUCGCGCUUG
Molecule: RNA transcript, 1085 nt
Organism: Nasonia vitripennis (jewel wasp)
Lineage: Eukaryota; Metazoa; Arthropoda; Insecta; Hymenoptera; Pteromalidae
Exons: 7
Source: RefSeq, a predicted model, not a curated record